GACGAACGCUGGCGGCGUGCUUAACACAUGCAAGUCGAACGGAAAGGCCCUGCUUUUGUGGGGUGCUCGAGUGGCGAACGGGUGAGUAACACGUGAGUAACCUGCCCUUGACUUUGGGAUAACUUCAGGAAACUGGGGCUAAUACCGGAUAGGAGCUCCUGCUGCAUGGUGGGGGUUGGAAAGUUUCGGCGGUUGGGGAUGGACUCGCGGCUUAUCAGCUUGUUGGUGGGGUAGUGGCUUACCAAGGCUUUAACGGGUAGCCGGCCUGAGAGGGUGACCGGCCACAUUGGGACUGAGAUACGGCCCAGACUCCUACGGGAGGCAGCAGUGGGGAAUAUUGCACAAUGGGCGGAAGCCUGAUGCAGCAACGCCGCGUGCGGGAUGACGGCCUUCGGGUUGUAAACCGCUUUCGCCUGUGACGAAGCGUGAGUGACGGUAAUGGGUAAAGAAGCACCGGCUAACUACGU
RNAcentral lists this ribosomal RNA (467 nucleotides) under uncultured bacterium. Its description in RNAcentral is "partial 16S ribosomal RNA". It matches the Rfam family "Bacterial small subunit ribosomal RNA", at positions 28 to 506 of the family's 1533-position model. The record is from RNAcentral.